ACGCCGGGGCUGUGGGAAUAAGAUGGCGGGGAAGAAGAAUGUUCUGUCGUCCCUCGCGGUUUACGCGGAAGAUUCAGAGCCCGAGUCUGAUGGCGAGGCUGGAAUCGAGGCGGUGGGCAGCGCGGCUGAGGAGAAAGGCGGAUUGGUAUCUGAUGCCUAUGGGGAGGAUGACUUUUCUCGUCUAGGGGGUGAUGAAGAUGGUUAUGAAGAAGAAGAAGAUGAGAACAGUAGACAGUCGGAAGAUGACGAUUCAGAGACUGAAAAACCUGAGGCUGAUGACCCAAAGGUAUUUGGUGUUGGCUGUGGUGGGUGGCUGGAUGCAAACAAGGUGUUUGAACAUUAUGGCUCAGUUCGUAUGUCUGGUCAAGAUCUGUCCCACUGACAAACUGUGCAACUGUGUGGACAUUUUCUGGGAUAAAAUAAGCUUUAUAAAGAAAGAACCUGGAGACAACUCAGGAAUGAACAAAUCCUGAGACACAUUGGAUUUCCAGCCUUUCAGAUUGUGCCAUAUCUCCUGACUAGAAAGGCGAGGGGCCUGGCUGAGUCCAACAACCCUCUUGCAUUCUGCAUCCCAGAUGG
Molecule: small RNA, 579 nt
Filed under: Pongo abelii (Sumatran orangutan)
Lineage: Eukaryota; Metazoa; Chordata; Mammalia; Primates; Hominidae
Description: retained intron
Source: RNAcentral